Molecule: long non-coding RNA, 1472 nt
Organism: Macrosteles quadrilineatus (aster leafhopper)
Lineage: Eukaryota; Metazoa; Arthropoda; Insecta; Hemiptera; Cicadellidae
Exons: 2
Source: RefSeq, a predicted model, not a curated record
CUAACACACUUCCACAUACACUGUUCUGAUGAAGAACGGUUCAAUGAUGAGAAGGCCUACUUGAUCGAACAAAUCAAGGAGUUGAAGCCUCUGCCAGAACACUAACAUUAGGUUGCGUUUGUGUAAGGCCGCCGCCCUCUUGUACAGUAUUGCACAUGUAUAGUCACCACCUUCCCUCAUCAGGAGUGUUACUUCUUUUUAAAUUCCUUUUUGUUUCAAAUAAUCCAAUAUGAUAUAUAGUAAAAAUAGGAUGAUUUAACCUUUGAGGUAAGUCCGUUAAUAAAAUUGUUUUAGUAAAUAUUAGAUUUAGUUAUAUUUUAUUUAUAUUAAACUCCUCGGUUUUAUCUAUAUGAAUUUUUGGUGAAAUCCCAACUUUGAUUGUAUAUAGUUAAAGGUGUUGUAAAGCUGUUGAUAGAAAGGUUUUGUUUUAAUUAUACUUUUCACAACCAAACGAUUAAUUUUAACAUUUUGUGUUAACAUUUAGACCGAGCUUGAAGGAGUUACACCUUCUCUAAGAAGUUUAUUUCUGUUAUUUUUUUAUGUAUAUAGUCCAGGAUGGGAUGGUGGUUUAAUCAGCCGUCUCAAUCACCUAUACUGUUCCUGGUGCUGCUAAAUUUGGUUUAUGUUAUGGAAAAAGUUAUAAGUGUAAAUACUGUCGAUGUUCACUUCAUGAAUAGUUAUGUAAAGCGAUCACUGAUUUUAUGUAAUUUUAUCAAGUGAAUUAUCUUUUAUUUGUUAGCUGCUAAUUGAAUCCUAUUUUUUAGUAAUAAUUUACUAGGAAAUUGUUUCCUGUUUUCUAUGUUGUGUUAAGUUUGAUUUUAAAACAUGAUUUUGUUAGAUUUGAUAUCCCACCUGGUAAAGUGUGUGGACAAUUGAAUAGUAAAAACUUUUCAAGAUGUUUGGAGUAAGUUGUGUUAGCGUAAAUUCCAUAACCUGAUGAAAUAAUUAACGUCAUUAAACAUUGAAUUUAGUUUGUGUUCACAACAAAUAAUAUUUUAGUAGAAACAAUGUUAACUAUAGAUACCAGCAAAUAAGUUGUUUUGUAUCUAAAGUACGUUAUUACUUACUAACUUUAAAGCUAGUGCAAGUCCGAAACAUUCUAACAUAAUACGAGAUAAAUAUGCACAAUUCUUUGUGAAACCAUUUAAGCUACAAACUAUUUCAAUGUAACGUUUCUGAAUUUUUCACUGUUUCUAUCAAUUUUAAACUUUUCUAACGUAUUUUGCUUUGUAAGCACACACCUUUUUGUUGUAUAAAUGUUAGUCUCUGGAUUCUCUUCAUGUGACUGUUUCAUAAAAUAUUAUAACAAGGGAAAAACUUAUGUUAAAAUAAUUAAGAAUAUCCUUGUUCAAAAUAAUUAUUUCAAUGUAUUCUGUAACAUAUGUAAAGGCUCAAUAGUAAAAGGCUAUUAAGCAACUGAUGUAUUACUUUGGAAAAUGAAUAUAAAGGUUCAAUAAAUGUUGAAGAAAUCA